UCGCUCCCUGGCUUUCGCGCCUCAGCGUCAGUGUCGGCCCAGCAACCCGCCUUCGCCGCAGGUGUUCCUCUCGAUAUCUACGCAUUUCACCGCUACACCGAGAAUUCCAGUUGCCCCUUCCGCACUCUAGCACGACAGUAUCACUUGGCCGCUCCGAGUUAAGCCCGGAGAUUUCACAAGUGACUUGUUGCGCCGCCUACGCGCCCUUUACGCCCAG
RNAcentral lists this ribosomal RNA (217 nucleotides) under uncultured soil bacterium. RNAcentral's name for it is "partial 16S ribosomal RNA". The record is from RNAcentral.